AGCAGCCGCGGUAAUUCCAGCUCCAAUAGCGUAUAUUAAAGUUGUUGCAGUUAAAAGCUCGUAGUUGAAUUUCGGGAUCAAAGGAUCGGUCAUGCCUUGGUAUGUACUGGUUUUAUUGGUUCUCACCUUCUAAAGAACCAUAAUGUCAUUCAUUUGAUGUUAUGGGGAAUUAGGACUGUUACCUUGAAAAACUAGAGUGUUUAAAGCAGGCUAACGCUUGGAUACAUUAGCAUGGAAUAAUGAAAUAGGACGUUUGAUCCUAUUUUGUUGGUUUCUAGGAUCGACGUAAUGAUUAAUAGGGAUAGUUGGGGGCAUUAGUAUUCAAUUGUCAGAGGUGAAAUUCUUGGAUUUAUUGAAGACUAACUACUGCGAAAGCAUUUGCCAAGGAUGUUUUCAUUAAU
This 401-nucleotide unclassified non-coding RNA is filed under the name uncultured Glomus. RNAcentral describes it as "SSU rRNA". It matches the Rfam family "Eukaryotic small subunit ribosomal RNA", at positions 569 to 977 of the family's 1831-position model. Lineage: Eukaryota; Fungi; Glomeromycota; Glomeromycetes; Glomerales; Glomeraceae. The record is from RNAcentral.